RNAcentral lists this ribosomal RNA (393 nucleotides) under uncultured bacterium. RNAcentral's name for it is "partial 16S ribosomal RNA". It matches the Rfam family "Bacterial small subunit ribosomal RNA", at positions 523 to 918 of the family's 1533-position model. The record is from RNAcentral.
AUACGGAGGAUCCGAGCGUUAUCCGGAUUUAUUGGGUUUAAAGGGAGCGUAGGUGGAUUGUUAAGUCGGUUGUGAAAGUUUGCGGCUCAACCGUAAAAUUGCAGUUGAAACUGGCAGUCUUGAGUACAGUAGAGGUGGGCGGAAUUCGUGGUGUAGCGGUGAAAUGCUUAGAUAUCACGAAGAACUCCGAUUGCGAGGACAGCUCACUUGACUGAUACUGACACUGAUGCGCGAAAGUGUGGGUAUCAAACAGGAUUAGAUACCCUGGUAGUCCAAACAGUAAAGGAUGCAUACUCGAUGUGUGCGAUAGACAGUAAGCGGCCAAGCGAAAGCAUUAAGUAUUCCACCUGGGGAGUACGCCGGCAACGGUGAAACUCAAAGGAAUUGCCGGGG